This 21386-nucleotide long non-coding RNA is filed under the name Triticum aestivum (bread wheat). RNAcentral's name for it is "long non-coding RNA (TAES_LNC021494)". Lineage: Eukaryota; Viridiplantae; Streptophyta; Magnoliopsida; Poales; Poaceae. The record is from RNAcentral.
AGUUUAGCGUUUGCAUGGUAGAGUGCUUAAUUGUGUCAGAUUACACUUUUUUUCAUGAUCUCCAUGGCUUGUAUUUUUGCUGAGAAACAAUGACCUGUAAUCCGCUGUGGUUCUCGUGUUGAUCCACGGCUAUAAUAACAAGCCGAUUAGGAAAAAGAUGGAAGUUCGCUUGUAGGCAGCCUUCGAAUUUCUGACACAUGUUUGAAGCAAGGUAAAUGAUGAAAGAGCUGAAUAUACCCACCAUGGUAUACAUGAAGUUGCACUGAACAGUCACUUUUGUGUCACAAAUUAUAUAAAAAAAUACACGAUCUGAGUGCCAAAACUUCACUAAUAUAGUGCAUUUUCCAUCGUCUCUGGGUCCCAUUUGUCGGCAUACCAGAGAGAUAAAUCCUUCUCAGUCUCCCUAUAGCAGUAGGCUCACUUUUUAGAUGAGUGGGAGGAAAGAAACAGGAGCUAGUAAUAUGAAGGCCAGCUAAGAACAACUCGAGCAAAAAGGAGUGGUAGGAAAGAAACAGGAACUAAUAAGAAGGCCAGCUAAGUAUGCUGAUGAUAGUAAUAGCUCAUGUAAUUGGGUCGAUGAAACCCCAGAUUUUCUAGUUGUUCAUCUUGCAAACGAUGUAACCUUAUUACAAGUUCAAUAAAGCAACCAUAAUCUAAAAUGCCAAACGGAGACCGAGCUCUAUGGAGACCUUUAUUUGAAAACUUCAAAAUUCAAACUUUUUAGUUUCAAAAAAUUCUAAAAAUAAAUACACAUAUACGUGUUUGCAAAUUUUCAGGUUGAAAUACAUUAAAAUGUGAGCUAUACAAAAAAGACAAAUCGGGGGCUGUUUAGCAUAUGUACUGUUCAUCUUUAAAGUCUAUGUUUUUCUUUUUUUUUGUGUAGCUCGCAAUUCAAGGUAUUUCAUCCUGAAAAAUUUCACACAUACACUUUACAUCCUUGCAUACAUGUGUUAUUUUCUCAGAAUUUUUUAAGACUGAAAUUUUUUAUUUUUUAUUUUUUCAAAAUAAAGGUCCCCAUAAUGGCAUUCUCUCAAAAAAUAAGAAGGUCAGCUAAGAGCAACUGCGCGCGCGCACACACACAAGGCCAGCUAAGAGCAACUCUAAGCAGACCCCGCAAAAACAGUAAUAUGUUUUUCCCUAAACCGGAUUUGCGUACCGCAUGGCAUGGGGCAGAACACCUGUAAAUUCGUAUGAUAAUUCUUUUUUUCCCCACGCUUCUUCUUCUCCGGUCCACACGGAUGCAUGGGACGCAUGUAUGGACGGACUCGAACUUCGGUUGGCCAGAACACAUGGACAUAACGCACACAUGCAUGCCCAGGACGCAUGGUCGGCUUGCUCCGGCCGCCGUCUACUUCAGUGAUGCUCUGGCCGGCCGCUGCCGAGCUCCUCUGUCUGCUCGCUGCUCCUGCGCGGCACCGCCAGGCCGUCUGCUCCGGCGUUGAUCGGUUUAUGGUUUCCCUAAAAGAUGAUUGAAACCCUGCAAGUAUGGGUAUGUAGGGGUUAGUAUACGGGCCUGUAUUUUUUAGAUGAUCUAGUUGGUGCAUUUUUCAACCUAUACUGCAAAUUUAAAGGUUUAACCAUUUUUAUAGGAUCCGCUAGAGAUGUUGUAAGGGGACUCGGUCGAUGGAAAUACACGAUUUGAGUGCCAAAACUUGACUUGACGUCAUAAUAUGGUGCUUUUUUUCCAUCAUGUGUGUGUCCCACUUGUUGGCAUACAAGAGAAAUAAGGAGGCCAAUAGCCAGCGACCAUUCACUGGCCAGGAUGGCAUUUGCGCACGGCGCGACUGUCAGUUUCUAUAAUGGGUGUAAAAAAUUUCAAAAUUGCCAUGACAUUUCGUUUACAUCUAGGGUGUUUUUGAUCCGCCACCAUCUGAUUCCGACCAGACGGCUCUGGGGCGGCAGGAGGGGGGAGGGGGGGUGCGCUCUCUGGGAUUUCGUUCCCAUGAAACUUUCCCAAGAUAGCAUUACCGAGAAAGAAAUCUCUCUCUAUCGGAUGUGGGACAAGCCCUUAUUUGCUCAAUCUUCACAAAUUGAAGAGGGAGUUGAGGAGGAACACGAAGAACACAAAGGGGAAAACAUGAGGAAUCAAAGGGGAAAACACUCUAUUGUACAAUAUCCACACCAAGCAUCCCUCAAAUCACAAGCAAUACAUGAGGUGCAUCAAGAUCCAAACACUACAAGGGAAUAAAGAUACAAGGCAGUUCCUGAGAGAGAGGGUUCUUCUCCAAAUCUCUAUGGGAGAUGAAGUUCUUACUAAUCCUAUGGUGGGGAUUCUUCUCCACAAGUUUAGGCCUUGUCAACCAUGAAAGGUGCAACACCACAUAGAGGGAUCCCAUAAAGGGGAGGUAGAUGAGCUAAGCUCUCUCAAGUUUCUGUAAAUCCUAGCUAACACUAGAAUGGAGGAGAAUGAGGGGUAUAUAUAGUCCUACACAAUGAAGGGGUAAGCAGGGGCGUAAUGGGAAGUUACAUGGGCAAAGCUAAACAGUUGCACGUAGGUAACCCCGUGCGCACGAGGUAAGUGGAGCUUGCGGGCACGGUGUAUCCAGAGGGCUGACGCAGUAGCCCGUGCGUGUGGGGGUGGUAUCAUGGCACGGGGUAUUGAGAGGACUUUGUGGCUGCUGGCCUUCCAGUGGACACAUGUUCAUGCUUGCGGAGCCUUGACUUCAUCUUGACAGUUCCUUCUCUGCUUUCAUGCUCCCGUCGCGGAUGGUGCAGGCGCUCGCUUGUGGACAACCUCCUCAACGACACAUUAAGGAUGGAAUUCACGUUAGUAUGUUUGAAGUGGAUGUUGAGUGUGUCUCUUCGCAAUGGGACUCUUGACAUAGUGAUGUCCGUAGGGUGCUCCGCACCACUAUUCCCUUUUAAAAUUUUGCAAUAAGUCAGUAAACCAAAUUAAUGCUAGUGUCAAUGAUGAUGCAUGUGUAUGGCACUCUCGUUUAUGUCAUGUUAAUUUUGGUUUAAUGUCUCAACUAUCCAAUGAGUUUAACUCUAAAUUUCACUGUUGCCAAAGGUUCAAAGUGACAUAGUUGUGUGCAAUCAAAGCAACCUCGAAAGCCUCAAACGGCCGCCGAUGAGAGAAACUUGGCACCUCUAGAACUCAUACAUUCUGAUCUAUGUGAGAUAAAUGGUGCCUUGAAGAAAGGUGGAAAUAGAUAUUUCAUGACAUUGAUUUAUGAUGCAACUAGAUUUUGCUAUCUUUAUAUUUUUUUGCAGACUAGAGAUGAAGCUUUAGACUACUUUAAAAUCUAUAAGGCUGAAGUUGAAAAUCAAUUAGAGAGAAGAUCAAGCAUCUCAGGCCAGAUCGUUGUAGCGAGUAUUUUCCUAAAGUAUUUGAUGAAUUUUGUGAGGAACGCAGUAUUAUUCAUUAGAGAACGCCUCCUUAUUCAGCGCAACCAAACGGAGUAGCUUUGUCCAUUGGCAUCCGGUGGCUGGCGGUGCAUGGGGUUGUGAUGGCAACAGUUGGCGGUGAUGCUCAUCGGUGGCGAGGUGGCGAAGUGGUGAGACGUGGUGGGGGGAGGUGGUAGCACGUCACGCAUGAAGGCCUGAUCUGGGCGCUUGCAGGGUCGUGAAUGAGGAGUGUGGUGGGCGGUUGCUCCGGCAGUGAUGGCGUUCGGGCGGUGAUGGUGGAGACGGUUGAGGAUGGCAUUGUUUAGAUGUGGCAAGAUGGGAAGCUAAAGAUGUGCUCAGAUUUUUUCUGAGCCGGCGAUAGUGACGCCUUUUGGCAUCGUUACCUUGUUGAAGGAGUCAUCGAUGUUAUUCUUGCCUACCUGCCUGCCUGCUACUCCAAUGGGAACCCUAGGUCCAGUUAAUCUCUGAUCGGAUGAUGAUGUUAAUAGUGUCGUUUUCUCUCUUGAGAGCAUCGUUUUCAAGCUGCCUUGAUUAGGGGGGACCAGUGAAUUUGCUAGGUUCACACAGCUGUUGUUGAUUCAAUGUCUCGCCGGUGCCCUAUUUUGGGUGGUUAAGGUACGAGGUAGAGCAUGGCGACGGGUGGUGAAUCCUUUGUUGAGAUGUCGCAUUACAGAUGGUGUGUGGUACUUUGCCCGUGAACAAAAGACCUUGGACACAUAAUGGAUCAGGACUACUUUAAAAUCUAUAAGGCUGAAGUUGAAAAUCAAUUAGAGAGAAGAUCAAGCAUCUAAGGCCACAUCGUUGUAGCGAGUAUUUUCCUAAAGUAUUUGAUGAAUUUUGUGAGGAACGCAGUAUUAUUCAUGAGAGAACGCCUCCUUAUUCAGCGCAACCAAACGAAGUAGCUUUGUCCAUUGGCAUCCGGUGGCUGGCGGUGCAUGGGGUUGUGAUGGCAACAGUUGGCGGUGAUGCUCAUCGGUGGCGAGGUAGCGAAGUGGUGAGACGUGGUGGGGGGGGAGGUGGUGGCACGUCACGCGUGAAGGCCUGAUCUAGGCGCUUGCAGGGUCGUGAAUGAGGAGUGUGGUGGGCGGUUGCUCUGGCAGUGAUGGCGUUCGGGCGGUGAUGGUGGAGACGGUUGAGGAUGGCAUUGUUUAGAUGUGGCGAGAUGGGAAGCUAAAGUUGUGCUCAGAUUUUUUUCUGAGCCGGCGAUAGUGACGCCUUUUGGCAUCGUUACCUUGUUGAAGGAGUCAUCGAUGUUAUUCUUGCCUACCUGCCUGCCUGCUACUCCAAUGGGAACCCUAGGUCCAGUUAAUCUCUGAUCGGAUGAUGAUGUUAAUAGUGUCGUUUUCUCUCUUGGGAGCAUCGUUUUCGAGCUGCCUUGAUUAGGGGGGACCAGUGAAUUUGCUAGGUUCACACAACUGUUGUUGAUUCAAUGUCUCGUCGGUGCCCUGUUUUGGGUGGUUAAGGUAUGAGGUAGAGCGUGGCGACGGGUGGUGAAUCCUUUGUUGAGAUGUCGCGUUACAGAUGGUGUGUGGUACUUUGCCCGUGAACAAAAGACCUUGGACACAUAAUGGAUCAGGACUACUUUAAAAUCUAUAAGGCUGAAGUUGAAAAUCAAUUAGAGAGAAGAUCAAGCAUCUUAGGCCAGAUCGUUGUAGCGAGUAUUUUCCUAAAGUAUUUGAUGAAAUGUGAGGAACACAGUAUUAUUCAUGAGAGGACACCUCCUUAGUCAGCGCAACCAAACGGAGUAACUUUGUCCAUUGGCAUCCGGUGGCUGGCGGUGCAUGGGGUUGUGAUGGCAACAGUUGGCGGUGAUGCUCAUCGGUGGCGAGGUGGCGAAGUGGUGAGACGUGGUGGGGGGAAGGUGGUGGCACGUCAUACGUGAAGGCCUGAUCUGGGCGCUUGCAGGGUUGCGACUGAGGAGUGUGGUGGGCGGUUGCUCUGGCAGUGAUGGCGUUCGGGCGGUGAUGGUGGAGACGGUUGAGGAUGGCAUUGUUUAGAUGUGGCGAGAUGGGAAGCUAAAGUUGUGCUCAGAUUUUUUGCUAAGCCGGCAAUAGUGACGCCUUUUGGCAUCGUUACCUUGUUGAAGGAGUCAUCGAUGUUAUUCCUGCCUACCUGCCUGCCUGCCACUCCAAUGGGAACCCUAGGUCUAGUUAAUCUCUGAUCGGAUGAUGAUGUUAAUAGUGUCGUUUUCUCUCUUGGGAGCAUCGUUUUCGAGCUGCCUUGAUUAGGGGGGACCAGUGAAUUUGCUAGGUUCACGCAGCUGUUGUUGCUUCAAUGUCUCACCGGUGCCCUAUUUUGGGUGGUUAAGGUAUGAGGUAGAGCGUGGCGACGGGUGGUGAAUCCUUUGUUGAGAUGUCGCGUUACAGAUGGUGCGUGGUACUUUGCCCGUGAACAAAAGACCUUGGGCACAUAAUGGAUCAGGACUACUUUAAAAUCUAUAAGGCUGAAGUUGAAAAUCAAUUAGAGAGAAGAUCAAGCAUCUUAGGCCAGAUCAUUGUUGCGAGUAUUUUCCUAAAGUAUUUGAUGAAUUUUGUGAGGAACGCAGUAUUAUUCAUGAGAGGACGCCUCCUUAUUCAGCGCAACCAAACGGAGUAGCUUUGUCCAUUGGCAUCCGGUGGCCGGUGGUGCAUGGGGUUGUGGUGGCAAAAGUUGGCGGUGAUGCUCAUCGGUGGCGAGGUGGCGAAGUGGUGAGACGUCGUAGGGGGGGAGGUGGUGGCACAUCACGCGUGAAGGCCUGAUCUGGGCGCUUGCAGGGUCGCGACUGAGGAGUGUGGUGGGCGGUUGCUCCGGCAGUGAUGGCGUUCGGGCGGUGAUGGUGGAGACGGUUGAGGAUGGCACUGUUGGAAAUAUGCCCUAGAGGCAAUAAUAAAAUGGUUAUUAUUAUAUUUCUUUGUUCAUGAUAAUUGUGUAUUGUUCAUGCUAUAAUUGUGUUAUCCGGAAAUCGUAAUACAUGUGUGAAUACAUAGACCACAACAUGUCCCUAGUGAGCCUCUACUUGACUAGCUCGCUGAUCAAAAGAUAGUCAUGGUUUCCUGACUAUGGACAUUGGAUGUCAUUGAUAACGGGAUCACAUCAUUAGGAGAAUGAUGUGAUGGACAAGACCCAAUCCUAAGCAUAGCUCAAAGAUCGUGUAGUUCGUUUGCUAUAGUUUUUCCGAAUGUCAAGUAUCAUUUCCUUAUACCAUGAGAUUGUGCAACUCCCGGAUACCGUAGGAGUGCUUUGGGUGUGCCAAACGUCACAACGUAACUGGGUGACUAUAAAGGUACACUACAGGUAUCUCCGAAAGUGUCUGUUGGGUUGGCACGAAUCGAGACUGGGAUUUGUCCCUCCGUAUGACGGAGAGGUAUCUCUGGGCCCACUCGGUAAUGCAUCAUCAUAAUGAGCUCAAUGUGACCAAGUGGUUGAUCACGGGAUCAUGCAUUAUGGUACUAGUAAAGUGACUUGGCGGUAACGAGAUUGAACGAGGUAUUGGGAUACCGACGAUCGAGUCUCGGGCAAGUAACGUACCGAUUGACAAAGGGAAUUGUAUACAGAUUGAUUGAAUCCUCGACAUCGUGGUUCAUCCGAUGAGAUCAUCGAGGAGCAUGUGGGAGCCAACAUGGGUAUCCAGAUCCCGCUGUUGGUUAUUGACCGGAGAGUCGUCUCGGUCAUGUCUGCGUGUCUCCCGAACCCGUAGGGUCUACACACUUAAGGUUCGGUGACGCUAGGGUUGUUGAGAUAUUAGUAUACGGUAACCCGAAAGUUGUUCGGAGUCCCGACUGAGAUCCCGGACGUCAUGAGGAGUUCCGGAAUGGCCCGGAGGGAAGAUUUAUAUAUAGGAAGUCAAGUUUCGGCCAUCGGGAAAGUUUCGGAGAUAAUCGGCAUUGUACCGGGACCACCGGAAGGGUCCCGGGGGUCCACCGGGUGGGGCCACCUAUCCUAGAGGGCCCCAUGGGCUAAAGUGGGAGGGGAACCAGCCCCUAGUGGGCUGGUGCGCCCCCCUUGGGCCUCCGCCUGCGCCUAGGGUUCGAAACCCUAGGGGUGGGGCGCCCCACUUGGCUCUUGGCUUGGGGGGCACUCCACCCCCCUUGGCCGCCGCCCCCUUGGAGAUCCCAUCUCCUAGGGCCGGCGCCCCCCUAGGGGUCCUAUAUAUAGUGGGGGGAAGGGAGGGCAGCCGCACCCUAGCCCCUGGCGCCUCCCUCUCCCUCCCAUGACACUCCUCCCUCUCCCUGAGCUUGGCGAAGCCCUGCCGAGAUCACUGUUGCUUCCACCACCACGCCGUCGUGCUGCUGGAUCUUCAUCAACCUCUCCUUCCCCCUUGCUGGAUCUUCAUCAACCUCUCCUUCCCCCUUGCUGGAUCAAGUUGGAGGAGACGUCUUCCCAACCGUACGUGUGUUGAACGCGGAGGUGUCGUCCGUUCGGCGCUAGGUCAUCGGUGAUUUGGAUCACGACGAGUACGACUCCAUGAACCCUGUUCUCUUGAACGCUUCCACGUGCGAUCUACAAGGGUAUGUAGAUGCACUCCCCUCUCCCUCGUUGCUAGAUGACUCCAUAGAUUGAUCUUUGUGAUGCGUAGAAAAUUUUACAAUUCUGCUACGUUCCCCAACAGUGGUAUCAGAGCUAGGUCUAUGCAUAGUUUCUAUGCACGAGUAGAACAUAAAGCAGUUGUGGGCGUCGAUAUUGUCAAUUUGUUUGCCGUUACUAGUCUUAUCUUGAUUCGGCGGCAUCGUGGGAUGAAGCGGCCCGGACCGACCUUACACGUACGCUUACGUGAGACUGGUUCCACCGAUUGACAUGCACUAGUUGCAUAAGGUGGCUGGCGGGUGUCUGUCUCUCCCACUUUAGUCGGAUCGGAUUCGAUGAAAAGGGUCCUUAUGAAGGGUAAAUAGAAAUUGGCAUAUCACGUUGUGGUUUUGGCGUAGGUAAGAAACGUUCUUGCUAGAAACCUAUAGCAGCCACGUAAAAACUUGCAACAACAAUUAGAGGACGUCUAACUUGUUUUUGCAGCAUGUGUCGUCUGAUGUGAUAUGGCCAAAACGAUGUGAUGAAUGAUAUAUGUGAUGUAUGAGAUUGAUCAUGUUCUUGUAAUAGAAAUCACGACUUGCAUGUCGAUGAGUAUGACAACCGGCAGGAGCCAUAGGAGUUGUCUUAAUUUAUUUAUGAGGUGGAGCUACGGGGGGACGAGCGGGGGCCACGCCCCCCAACCGCUGCGUCGUACAUAAGUUGCGUAGGCUACGUCAGGUAGAUUAGGGGCUACGUCAGGCAGAUUUAGGACUAAUUGCCCCCCCCCUAAGUUUUUUAAGGGGUGAUAAAUAAAUUUAUUCAUCAAAAUCCACAUGAAGUGGGAUACGAAUCUGGUUGUACGGAAUGCCUAACCGGACGUGACGACCGGGACCUCUAGAAAGGGAAAAUUUAGCUAAACCGUGUGCUUCAUAGUUCACAGCACGACCCUCGAAAAUAAAUUUACAUUGGACAUUAAUAGCUCUAAGGCGAAUCUCCCUGAUAAUUGCUCCAUAUCUUCCUCCACUGUUGUUGCCAAUAUCCGCCACAACCUGUUUGCAAUCAGAUGCGAUGACAAAAUGGUGGAUGUUGAGGUCCUCCGCCAGGCACAACGCCUCUCGACAUGCUAUCGACUCCAAAGAUGCCGGAUCAGUGACACCCUCCCUGACCAAGGCCGAAGCCCCAAUAUAAUUCCCCGCUUCAUCUCUGCAAACUGCACCUGCCGCUCUUCCUCUUCUCGCGCGAACGGAUGCAUCAACAUGUAUCUUGUAUGCUCCGGGGGGUGGUUUCUUGGGGUUUUGUCUUUGUGGCCGCGGUUGGCUCACUCCUUGCAGGGGGCAUCGGUUUGAAUUAAUCACACCGAGCUCUGCCAUGAAACUUGUGAUGAAGGAGUGUGUCUGAUGGGGGCUUUGGAAUAUUGCCUCAUGAAUAGCUUUACGUCGAGCAUGCCAAAUCGCCCAAGCAGUGACCGCCAGCAAAGCAAAGCUCUCUUGCGUCAAGCUCUCGAUCAAAGUGAACAACCAGUUUUUUGCAUUAGGUUCUGUGGUCGCCAUGAUUUUAUGCAGCACUUCCUCAUCUCCCAACGCCCAUACACUCCGCGAGGCGUUACACUCCAAUAACGAAUGCCUCCAUGAGUCUUGUACUCCACACAACCCGCAUAGGCUAGAAUCCGCCAUAUGCCGGUGCGCUCGUACAUCGUUUGUAGGCAGCGACUGUUUCGCUAAUCUCCACAAGAACAUUCUGACCUUCCCUGGAACUGAUGUACUCCAUAAGGAUUUCCACGCGCCAGAAUCAGCCCUGGCACUGGACGGUCCUGCCGAUCCCUCGAGCCAAGCCUCUCUUCGCUGUCUAGUUGCAAUGAUCAUCUUAUAUGCUGACCUGACCGAAAAGAUGCCAUGUUUUUCAUAGUGCCAAGCCCAAUAAUCUGACACAUUCCGUGUGCAUAAAGGAAUUUCCAAUAUCAUCUCAGCGUCCAUCGGCAUAAAAGUUGCUUGCACAAGUUGCCUGUCCCAAGAUGCCGUAGCAUUAGAUAUAAGCUCCGAAACCAUUAAAGGAGGGUUUUGUGUUAAGCAUCCAUAUGGCCUGAGCAUCUCGUCCCUUGGGAGCCAAUUGUGUUCCCCCCUAAGUGUGCGCUUAAGGCUUGAAGCCCAGGAACUUUGCAUGUUAAAAGCCCAUGUACUAGCUAGUCAGCCCACACUACACGAAACAAACUACCAGGUAGUUUCGGAAGCUGACGAGGCCACCAGGGCAUCCUCUAUCGAUUGUUUCGGCGUUGUCUCAAAAAAAAAUUGUUUCAGCGCAGACGCAAUACGCGUGGCCGCAAGUUCAACUAGGGCAUCCGCACAACCGAUCAGCGCUGGCGGCGACGACAGUAUACUCCUGCAGUGAGUCCCUUGAUUCCUUUAUUGAUUUAUACUGUGCAACAAUACUGAUGAAUUGAUCCGCAUCUGGCUCGAGAAGGCCAGAAACUUCUUGUUCAGAUGAAGUUAAUUAAGGGUGUCAAUUUCUUGUUUUCUUCUAAAAAAUUGGUACACUAAAUUAGGCAUUCGCUGAUUAUGAUUCUAUCAUCUAACUUUCAUAUUUCACCCUUAGGACAACACAUUAUGGCUCACGCCAGAUCUAAGAGCUAGGUGUAUCAUUGGCUAGAGGCUCAGGUCUAGCCUAUUGCAGUUUUUUAUUAUUCACAAACUGCUAGAUGCUAGUUUCUGUUUUUCAGGCUGAUUAGGUGAUGUACAAACUACCGAUCAAAUAUUCGGGCUCAAGUAAAAUUUACACAACCAGCUAGAAUCGAAAGAGCACCCUAUAAAAUUGUCGACUUUGUUCUAUGGGUUUUACGCAUAAGAGCCACAUUAAACUAAUGAAAAAUCAACAUUUUUAUAGUUGCAACAUACAAAUUAAUCAUGUGUUUCUCUUUGUACGGUCAUUAUAUGAAAAAAAAAAUGUUCAUUGUCUUCUUCGCCCUCCCUAUGGUCAAAUCCUGGCUCCGCCCCUGCCUGCAUGUCAACAUAAACGUCAUGUAAUUACUUUACUUUAUUGCUAAAGCGUUAGCCAUAGUAGUAGAAGUAAUAGAUGACGAGACAACUUCAAGAAGACACGAUGAUGGAGAUCAUGAUGAUGGAGAUCAUGAUGUCAUGCCAGUGACAACGAUGAUCAUGAAGCCCCGAAGAUGGAGAUCAAAAGGAGCAAAUGAUAUUGGCCAUAUCAUGUCACUAUUUGAUUGCAUGUGAUAUUUAUCAUGUUUUGCAUCUUAUUUGCUUAGAACGAUGGUAGCUUAAAUAAGAUGAUCCCUCGUAAUAAUUUCAAGAAAGUGUUCCCCCUAACUGUGCACCGUUGCGAAGGUUCGUUGUUUCGAAGCACCACAUGAUGAUCGGGUGUGAUAGAUUCUAACGUUCGAAUAUAACGGGUGUAAGCCAGAUUUACACACGCAAUACACUUAGGUUGACUUGACGAGCCUAGCAUGUACAGACAUGGCCCCGAAACACGGGAGACCGAAAGGUCGAGCAUGAGUCAUAUAGAAGAUACGAUCAACAUGAAGAUGUUCACCGAUGUUGACUAGUCCGUUUCAUGUGAUGAUCGGACACGACCUAGUUGACUCGGAUCAUGUUUCACUUAGAUGACUAGAGGGAUGUCUAUCUGAGUGGGAGUUCAUUGAAUAAUUUGAUUAGAUGAACUUAAUUAUCAUGAACUUAGUCUAAAAUCGUUACAAUAUGUCUUGUAGAUCAAAUGGCCCACGUUGUCCUCAACUUCAACGCGUUCCUAGAGAAAAUCAAACUAAAAGAUGAUGACAGCAACUAUACGGACCGGGUCCGGAACCUGAGGAUCGUCCUCAUAGCUGCCAAGAAAGAUUAUGUCCUAGAAGCACCGCUAGGUGACGCACCCAUCCCACAGAACCAAGACGUUAUGAACGCUUGGCAGUCACGUGCUGAUGAUUACUCCCUCGUUCAGUGCGGCAUGCUUUACAGCUUAGAACCGGGGCUCCAAAAGCGUUUUGAGAGACACAGAGCAUAUGAGAUGUUCGAAGAGCUGAAAAUGGUUUUCCAAGCUCAUGCCCGGGUCGAGAGAUAUGAAGUCUCCGACAAGUUCUUCAGUUGUAAGAUGGAGGAAAAUAGUUCUGUCAGUGAGCACAUACUCAAAAUGUCUGGGUUACAUAACCGCUUGACUCAGCUAGGAGUUAAUCUCCUGGAUGACACGGUCAUUGACAGAAUCCUUCAGUCGCUUCCACCGAGCUACAAGAGCUUUGUGAUGAACUUCAAUAUGCAGAGGAUGGAAAAGAUCAUUCCUGAGGUAUAUUCAAUGCUGAAAUCAGCAGAGGUGGAAAUCAAAAAGGAACAUCAAGUGUUGAUGGUGAAUAAAACAACUAAGUUCAAGAAAGGCAAGGGUAAGAAGAACUUCAAGAAGGACGGCAAGGGAGUUGCCGCGCCCGGUAAGCAAGCUGCCGGGAAGAAGUCAAAGAAUGUACCCAAGCCUGAGACUGAGUGUUUUUAUUGCAAGGGAAGUGGUCACUGGAAGCGAAACUGCCCCAAAUACUUAGCGGACAAGAAGGCCGGCAACACUAAAGGUAUAUGUGAUAUACAUGUAAUUGAUGUGUACCUUACCAGUACUCGUAGUAACUCCUGGGUAUUUGAUACCGGUGCCGUUGCUCACAUUUGUAACUCAAAGCAGGAGCUGUGGAAUAAGCGGAGACUGGCGAAGGACGAGGUGACGAUGCGCGUCGGGAAUGGUUCCAAGGUCGAUGUGAUCGCCGUCGGCACGCUGCCUCUACAUUUACCUACGGGAUUAGUUUUAAACCUCAAUAAUUGUUAUUUAGUGCCAGCUUUGAGCAUGAACAUUGUAUCAGGAUCUCGUUUAAUUCGAGAUGGCUACUCAUUUAAAUCCGAGAAUAAUGGUUGUUCUAUUUAUAUGAGAGAUAUGUUUUAUGGUCAUGCUCCGCUGGUGAAUGGUUUAUUCUUAAUGAAUCUCGAGCGUAAUGUUACACAUAUUCAUAGUGUGAAUAUCAAAAGAUGUAAGGUUGAUAAUGAUAGUCCCACAUACUUGUGGCACUGCCGCCUUGGUCACAUAGGUGUCAAACGCAUGAAGAAGCUCCAUGCCGAUGGACUUUUGGAGUCUCUUGAUUACGAAUCAUUUGACACAUGCGAAUCAUGCCUCAUGGGUAAAAUGACCAAGACUCCGUUCUCAGGAAUAAUGGAGCGAGCAACCAACUUAUUGGAAAUCAUACAUACUGAUGUAUGCGGUCCAAUGAACGUUGAGGCUCGCGGUGGCUAUCGUUAUGUUCUCACCCUCACUGAUGACUUGAGUACAUAUGGGUAUGUCUACUUAAUGAAACACAAGUCUGAGACCUUUGAAAAGUUCAAGGAAUUUUAGAGUGAGGUUGAAAAUCAACGUGACAGAAAAAUCAAGUUCUUGCGAUCAGAUCGCGGGGGAGAAUACUUGAGUCACGAAUUUGGCACACACUUAAGGAAAUUUGGAAUAGUUUCACAACUCACGCCGCCUGGAACACCUCAGCGUAAUGGUGUGUCCGAACGUCGUAAUCGCACUCUAUUGGAUAUGGUGCGAUCUAUGAUGUCUUUUACCGAUUUACCAUUGUCAUUUUGGGGCUAUGCUUUAGAGACUGCCGCAUUCACUUUAAAUAGGGCUCCGUCGAAAUCCGUUGAGACGACACCGUAUGAAUUAUGGUUUGGGAAGAAACCUAAGCUGUCGUUUCUAAAAGUUUGGGGAUGCAAUGCUUAUGUCAAGAAACUUCAACCUGAAAAGCUCGAACCCAAAUCGGAAAAAUGCGUCUUCAUAGGAUACCCUAAAGAAACUAUUGGGUAUACCGUCUACCUCAGAUCCGAAGGCAAGAUCUUUGUUGCCAAGAAUGGAUCCUUUCUAGAGAAAGAGUUUCUCUCGAAAGAAAUAAGUGGGAGGAAAGUAGAACUCGAUGAAGUAUUACCUCUUGAACCGGUAAGUGGCGUAGCUCAAGAAAAUGUUCCUGAGGUGCCUUCACCGACUAGAGAGGAAGUUAAUGAUGAUGUCAUGAAACUUCAGAUCAAGUUGCUACUAAACUUCGUAGGUCCACAAGGACACGUUCCGCACCAGAGUGGUACGGCAACCCUGUCUUGGGAAUCAUAUUGUUAGGUAAUGGUGAACCUUCGAACUAUGAAGAAGUGAUGGCGGGCCCAGAUUCCGACAAAUGGCUGGAAGCCAUGAAAUCCGAGAUAGGAUCCAUGUAUGAAAACGAAGUAUGGACUUUGACUGACUUGCCCGAUGAUCGGCGAGCCAUAGAAAAUAAAUGGAUCUUUAAGAAGAAGACAGACGCGGAUGGUAAUGUAACCAUCUAUAAAGCUCGGCUUGUCGCUAAGGGUUAUCGACAAGUUCAAGGGGUUGACUACGAUGAUACUUUCUCACCCGUAGUGAAGCUAAAGUCCAUCCGAAUCAUGUUAGCAAUUGCCGCAUUCUAUGAUUAUGAGAUAUGGAAAAUGGACGUCAAAACGGCAUUCCUUAAUGGUUUCCUUAAGGAAGAAUUGUAUAUGAUGCAGCCGGAAGGUUUUGUCGAUCCUAAGAAUGCUGACAAGGUGUGCAAGCUCCAACGCUCGAUUUAUGGGCUGGUGCAAGCAUCUCGGAGUUGGAACAUUCGUUUUGAUGAGAUGAUCAAAGCGUUUGGGUUUACGCAGACUUAUGGAGAAGGCUGCAUUUACAAAAAAGUGAGUGAGAGCUCUGUAGCAUUUCUCAUAUUGUAUGUGGAUGACAUACUGUUGGUGGGAAAUGAUAUAGAAUUCUUGGAAAGCAUAAAGGCCUACUUGAACAAGUAUUUUUCAAUGAAGGAUCUUGGAGAAUCUGCUUAUAUAUUAGGCAUCAAGAUCUAUAGAGAUAGAUCGAGACGCCUCAUUGGUCUUUCACAGAGUACGUACCUUGACAAGAUAUUGAAGAAGUUCAAAAUGGAUCAGUCAAAGAAGGGGUUCUUGCCUGUAUUGCAAGGUACGAGAUUGAGCACGGCUCAAUGCCCGACCACGGCAGAAGAUAGAGAAAAGAUGAGUGUCGUCUCCUAUGCCUCGGCCAUAUGGUCUAUCAUGUAUGCUAUGCUGUGUACCAGACCUGAUGUAAACCUUGCCGUAAGUUUGGUAGGAAGGUACCAAAGUAAUCCCGGCAUGGAACACUGGACAACGGUCAAGAAUAUUCUGAAGUACCUGAAAAGGACCAAGGAAAUAUUUCUUGUUUAUGAAGGUGACGAAGAGCUCGUCGUAAAGGGUUACGUCGAUGCUAGCUUCGACACAGAUCUGGAUGACUCUAAGUCACAAACCGGAUACGUGUAUAUUUUGAAUGGUGGGGCAGUAAGCUGGUGCAGUUGCAAGCAAAGCAUUAUGGCGGGAUCUACAUGUGAAGCGGAGUACAUGGCAGCCUCGGAGGCAGCACAAGAAGCAGUCUGGGUGAAGGAGUUCAUUACCGACCUAGGAGUCAUACCCAAUGCGUCGGGCCCGAUGACUCUCUUCUGUGACAACACUAGAGCUAUUGCCCUUGCCAAGGAGCCCAGGUUUCACAGGAAGACCAGGCAUAUGAAGCGUCGCUUCAACUCCGUUCGUGAAAGUGUUCAAAAUAGAGACAUAGAGAUUUGUAAAGUACAUACGGACCUGAAUGUGGCAGAUCCGUUGACUAAACCUCUCCCAAGAGCAAAACAUGAUCAACACCAGAACUGCAUGGGUGUUCGAUUCAUCACAAUGCAACUAGACUAUUGACUCUAGUGCAAGUGGGAGACUGUUGGAAAUACGCCCUAGAGGCAAUAAUAAAAUGGUUAUUAUUAUAUUUCUUUGUUCAUGAUAAUUGUCUAUUGUUCAUGCUAUAAUUGUGUUAUUCGGAAAUCGUAAUACAUGUGUGAAUACAUAGACCACAACACGUCCCUAGUGAGCCUCUAGUUGACUAGCUCGCUGAUCAAAAGAUAGUCAUGGUUUCCUGACUAUGGACAUUGGAUGUCAUUGAUAACGGGAUCACAUCAUUAGGAGAAUGAUGUGAUGGACAAGACCCAAUCCUAAGCAUAGCUCAAAGAUCGUGUAGUUCGUUUGCUAUAGUUUUUCCGAAUGUCAAGUAUCAUUUCCUUAUACCAUGAGAUUGUGCAACUCCCGGAUACCGUAGGAGUGCUAUGGGUGUGCCAAACGUCACAACGUAACUGGGUGACUAUAAAGGUACACUACAGGUAUCUCCGAAAGUGUCUGUUGGAUUGGCACGAAUCGAGACUGGGAUUUGUCACUCCGUAUGAUGGAGAGGUAUCUCUGGGCGCACUCGGUAAUGCAUCAUCAUAAUGAGCUCAAUGUGACCAAGUGGUUGAUCAUGGGAUCAUGCAUUACGGUACGAGUAAAGUGACUUGGCGGUAACGAGAUUGAACGAGGUAUUGGGAUACCGACGAUCGAGUCUCGGGCAAGUAACGUACCGAUUGACAAAGGGAAUUGUAUACAGAUUGAUUGAAUCCUCGACAUCAUGGUUCAUCCGAUGAGAUCAUCGAGGAGCAUGUGGGAGCCAACAUGGGUAUCCAGAUCCAGCUGUUGGUUAUUGACCGGAGAGUCGUCUCGGUCAUGUCUGUGUGUCUCCCGAACCCGUAGGGUCUACACACUUAAGUUUCGGUGACGCUAGGGUUGUUGAGAUAUUAGUAUACGGUAACCCGAAAGUUGUUCGGAGUCUCGGAUGAGAUCCCGGACAUCACGAGGAGUUCCGGAAUGGUCCUAAGGUGAAGAUUUAUAUAUAUGAAGUCAAGUUUCGGCCAUCGGGAAAGUUUCGGGGGUGAUCGGUACCGGGACCACCGGAAGGGUCCCGGGGGUCCACCGGGUGGGCCCACCUAUCCUGGAGGGCCCCAUGGGCUAAAGUGGGAGGGGAACCAGCCCCUAGUGGGCUGGUGCGCCCCCCUUGGGCCUCCCCCUGCGCCUAGGGUUGGAAACCCUAGGGGUGGGGGGCGCCCCACUUGGCUUGGGGGGCACUCCACCCCCCUUGGCCGCCGCCCCCCUUGGAGAUCCCAUCUCCUAGGGCCGGAGCCCCCCUAGGGGUCCUAUAUAUAGUGGGGGGAAGGGAGGGCAGCCGCACCCUAGCCCCUGGCACCUCCCUCUCCCUCCCGUGACACUCCUCCCUCUCCCUGAGCUUGGCGAAACCCUGCUGAGAUCACCGUUGCUUCCACCACCACGUCGUCGUGCUGCUGGAUCUUCAUCAACCUCUCCUUCCCCCUUGCUGGAUCAAGUUGGAGGAGACGUCUUCCCAACCAUAUGUGUGUUGAACGCGGAGGUGUCGUCCGUUCGGCGCUAGGUCAUCGGUGAUUUGGAUCACGACGAGUACGACUCCAUCAACCCCAUUCUCUUGAACGCUUCCGCGCGCGAUCUACAAGGGUAUGUAGAUGCACUCUCAUCUCCCUCGUUGCUAGAUGACUCCAUAGAUUGAUCUUGGUGAUGCGUAGAAAAUUUUAAAAUUCUGCUACGUUCCCCAACAGGCAUUGUUUAGAUGUGGCGAGAUGGGAAGCUAAAGUUGUGCUCAGAUUUUUUUUCUAAGCCGGCAAUAGUGACGCCUUUUGGCAUUGUUACCUUGUUGAAGGAGUCAUCGAUGUUAUUCUUGCCUACCUGCUGCCUGCUACUCCAAUGGGAACCCUAGGUCUAGUUAAUCUCUGAUCAGAUGAUGGUGUUAAUAGUGUCGUUUUCUCUCUUGGGAGCAUCGUUUUUGAGCUGCCUUGAUUAGGGGGGACCAGUGAAUUUGCUAGGUUCACGCAACUGUUGUUGCUCCAAUGUCUCGCCGGUGCCCUAUUUUGGGUGGUUAAGGUAUGAGGUAGAGCGUGGCGACGGGUGUGAAUCCUUUGUUGAGAUGUCGCGUUACAGAUGGUGCGUGAUACUUUGUCCGUGAACAAAAGACCUUGGACACAUAAUGGAUCAGGACUACUUUAAAAUCUAUAAGGCCGAAGUUGAAAAUCAAUUAGAGAGAAGAUCAAGCAUCUUAGGCCAGAUCGUUGUAGCGAGUAUUUUCCUAAAGUAUUUGAUGAAUUUUGUGAGGAACGCAGUAUUAUUCAUCAGAGGACGCCUCCUUAUUCAGCGCAACCAAACAGAGUAGCUUUGUCCAUUGGCAUCCGGUGGCUGGCGGUGCAUGGGGUUGUGAUGGCAGCAGUUGGCAGUGAUGCUCAUCGGUGGCGAGGUGGCGAAGUGGUGACACGUGGUGGGGGGAGGUGGUGGCACGUCACGCGUGAAGGCCUGAUCUGGGCGCUUACAGGGUCGUGACUGAGGAGUGUGGUGGGCGGUUGCUCCGGCAGUGAUGGCGUUCGGGCGGUGAUGGUGGAGACGGUUGAGGAUGACAUUGUUUAGAUGUGGCGAGAUGGGAAGCUAAAGUUGUGCUCAUAUUUCUUUCUGAGCCGGCGAUAGUGAUGCCUUUUGGCAUCGUUACCUUGUUGAAGGAGUCAUCGAUGUUAUUCUUGCCUGCCUGCUACUCCAAUGGGAACCCUAGGUCCAGUUAAUCUCUGAUCGGAUGAUGAUGUUAAUAGUGUCAUUUUUCUUUUGGGAGCAUCGUUUUCGAGCUGCCUUGAUUAGGGGGGACCAGUGAAUUUGCUAGGUUCACGCAGCUGUUUUUGCUUCAAUGUCUCGCCGGUGCCCUAUUUUGGGUGGUUAAGGUACGAGGUAGAGCAUGGCGACGGGUGGUGAAUCCUUUGUUGAGAUGUCGCGUUACAGAUGGUGCGUGGUACUUUGCCCGUGAUAAUCACGGCCUUGGAGGGAUAGUGACAACUUGUGGCGUAUCACUCGGGGUGCCCAGAUUUACCACUAACAAACACUUGUGACGAAAGCAGGAUUGUCAGAUCGCCUCCAAGGUGUGAUUUCGAUGGUGGUGUCUACUCUUGCCCUGCCAUCAAUGGCUUCGUGGUAGGCUCCUUGCUAGUUGUGUGCAUGACUUUCAGCUCAUGUGGAUAUCACACCUGGACCAUAUGCGCUUACAUCAUUUUUGAUGGCUACAACUGCUCGAUGAGGAUCAAUGUUGCAUGUUGCUCUUCUCCCCCUUUUAUAUAUUUUUCCUCCACCUAGGCAUAGCAUUGGCCUUCUAUGGCUUUGCUAUUUGAUGAUAAGAAAAUCUCAGGACCUAGAUAUUCAUUUUGUAUAAUUGAACCUUUUCAAACUGUUUCUUUUUAGAACAAAAAAAACUUAUGCCAAAAUACCGGAUACGAAGGAAAACAAAAGACCUUGGACACAUAAUGGAUCAGGAAGCACGAUUUCUACGCCCCCCAACCCCCACCAAAACCUCCCACAUAAGGGUUGCUUGUUAAUGGUUGAUCAAGAUUGAUGUAUUCCCCCUGUGAAAUUAGAAGUUUUGCUCCAUCUAAUGAAAACGCCAUUUUUGAAGGAAAAAAAAUCAGGUGCUUAUAACUUAUUUGGAUUAAUUCCAACUUGGAUCAUUUCAUCGUGCUGAGUCCAUGGGAGUUCCCAUUUACCUUCGUAGAACAAAAUCAAGAUAAAAUAAUAAAAUGUAAUGAAACUUGAAGACUAUGCAAUGCUGACAUUAAAAUGCUUGAAAGAAGGUACUAUUAAUUCCUAAAUCCUACGUUCCCCCCUCCCCCGCGCCGCCCCUAGCGGGCGUCUCGGGGGGCGAUUUCCCUCCCGUCGGCGUAACCCCCCUCUCUCCAUUCCCCCUUGCCGCCGCACGAGGCUGGUGCCGGGCCAGGCCUGGGGCGCGGUCGGGGACUGCAGCGGCGGGGCCUACUCUACUCCGAUCUGCAUCGGAGAGUCUCGGAUCUGGGCGGCGGCCCCUGGCGAGGCCCCCUGUCUCCUGCGGCGGGCAGUGGGGUUGGCGUGGUGCCGGCGAUCUGGUCGGGUGGCCGACGGAUCUCCGGUGGGCUGGGGCCUUGCGUGGCUGCCUUGGCGGCUGGCGGCACCAGAUCUGCCUGCUGGCCAUCUUCCUUGCUCGGUGCGCUUCUCCUGCGAGGGUCCCUGGGCGUGCUAGCUGGCCUGCCUCUGGGAUGCGGGCGAUUUUGGUGGUCGGGAUCCAGAUCGGGGGAAACCCGGGUCAGCUCCGGCCGGCCGCGACAACGACGACGCCCGCGGGCGCCGAUUUCUUCAUGGAGACGUUUGUCAAGGUCUGCCCUUUCACUCCUCACCACCUAGCUUGUCGGGUGAAAACCUAACUCCGGUGGGCGGCGGCGGCGUCUUUGGAGCCGCGACCUUCUUGAAGGCGUCGCCUUGAGGGCUGGGUGGUGGCGGGCGCUGUUUGGGGUCGGUGACAGCAGCCGAUGGCGACGCCGGGGAGGUCCGCUGUAGAGUGCAUUUCAGAUUUGCAUUAACAUUCUUCAGACACACGGUGUAGCGAAAAUGCGAAACUACUGAACUAGCUAGCAGCAGGAACGCAUAAUUAAGUUACUAACCAUAUCUUGCCAGAGAGAGCGGUGCCAAACAAGGGCCACGCCGGGGAGGUCCGCUGUAGAGUGCAUUUCAGAUUUGCAUUAACAUUCUUCAGACACACGGUGUAGCGAAAAUGCGAAACUACUGAACUAGCUAGCAGCAGGAACGCAUAAUUAAGUUACUAACCAUAUCUUGCCAGAGAGAGCGGUGCCAAACAAGGGCCACGCCGGGGAGGUCCGCUGUAGAGUGCAUUUCAGAUUUGCAUUAACAUUCUUCAGACACACGGUGUAGCGAAAAUGCGAAACUACUGAACUAGCUAGCAGCAGGAACGCAUAAUUAAGUUACUAACCAUAUCUUGCCAGAGAGAGCGGUGCCAAACAAGGGCCACGCCGGGGAGGUCCGCUGUAGAGUGCAUUUCAGAUUUGCAUUAACAUUCUUCAGACACACGGUGUAGCGAAAAUGCGAAACUACUGAACUAGCUAGCAGCAGGAACACAUAAUUAAGUUACUAACCAUAUCUUGCCAGAGAGAGCGGUGCCAAACAAGGCGUUGAUGGGGUCGGCAGGGAAGGUGCAAAUGCUGUAGAUACGUGUCUCUCUGUCAUGUGCGGAGAAACCCAUGGCAGAACAAGUGUGAUCGAUGAACUUGACGGCGCGGUAGGUUCGGCUUGGCAUCACCAUGAUGAUCGCCAUGUCGUGUGACCAUCCUAUGGCCUGGACCCUGGAUAGACGCAUCGCAGACGCUGCCGUCGAAGAACUCCACUAGAACUUUGGUACCCUCAACGACCAGUGGCGCUCCAGGGCCGUCGCCGGUGGGACGGAAACUGGCGAAGGUGUGGGCGACGGAAAACACCAGAGUGAAUCGGUCGCAGGAAUGGAGGAUGCUUCCGGUGCCAUAGCACACCGUCGUCGGGGGCUUUUCCACUUUCUUGCCGGCGCUGCUCUCCCCCUCCUUCUUCCUUUUCUUGCCGCCGCCGCCCUCCCCCUUGUCCUCUUCCUCUUCCUCUCCCGUGCGCUGCUUCCCACCGUCCUGGUUCCCCUCGCCCCCUAGCUCUGGGUGACUGGGUCGGAGGGCUCCCUGAAGGCCCUGAGGCUCACCACGGACUCGACGUGCUUCUCCACGAGUGCUCGGACCACGCGGCUGGUCUCCUCAUCGCUGCCCAUCGAAUCGAUCGCCCUCUCGCUGCAGGAAACGUCCGGAUCGGAAAGAAAAAAAAUCUCUGCAGAACAGAAAGGAGCCUUUUUUUUCU